RNAcentral lists this ribosomal RNA (491 nucleotides) under uncultured bacterium. RNAcentral's name for it is "partial 16S ribosomal RNA". It matches the Rfam family "Bacterial small subunit ribosomal RNA", at positions 27 to 507 of the family's 1533-position model. The record is from RNAcentral.
GAGUGACCGCUGGCGGCCGGCCUAAUACAUGCAAGUCGAACGGCAGCACAGUGGAGCUUGCUCCAUGGGUGGCGAGUGGCGGACGGGUGAGGAAUACAUGGGAAUCUGCCCAGUCGUGGGGGAUAACGUAGGGAAACUUACGCUAAUACCGCAUGCGCCCUUCGGGGGAAAGCCGGGGACCUUCGGGCCUGGCGCGAUUGGAUGAGCCCAUGUUCGAUUAGCUAGUUGGCGGGGUAAAGGCCCACCAAGGCGACGAUCGAUAGCUGGUCUGAGAGGAUGAUCAGCCACACUGGGACUGAGACACGGCCCAGACUCCUACGGGAGGCAGCAGUAGGGAAUAUUGGACAAUGGGCGCAAGCCUGAUCCAGCCAUGCCGCGUGAGUGAAGAAGGCCCUCGGGUUGUAAAGCUCUUUUGUCCGGGAAGAAAAGCAUCGGGCUAAUACCUCGGUGUUCUGACGGUACCGGAAGAAUAAGCACCGGCUAACUUCGUG